AUUGCAGGCUGCAACCCGCCCUGCAUGAAGUCGGAAUUGCUAGUAAUCGCGGAUCAGCAUGCCGCGGUGAAUACGUUCCCGGGCCUUGUACACACCGCCCGUCACACCAUGGGAGUCGGAAAUGCCCGAAGUCUGUGACCCAACCUACGGGAGGGAGCAGCCGAAGGCAGGUCGGAUGACUGGGGUGAAGUCGUAACAAGGUAGC
This 205-nucleotide ribosomal RNA is filed under the name uncultured bacterium. RNAcentral's name for it is "partial 16S ribosomal RNA". It matches the Rfam family "Bacterial small subunit ribosomal RNA", at positions 1297 to 1500 of the family's 1533-position model. The record is from RNAcentral.